This 158-nucleotide unclassified non-coding RNA is filed under the name uncultured fungus. RNAcentral's name for it is "partial contains 18S rRNA, ITS1, 5.8S rRNA, ITS2 and 28S rRNA". Lineage: Eukaryota; Fungi. The record is from RNAcentral.
AAGGAUCAUUAGCAAAUCCGCCCACAGUGUGUAAAAGCGCUGUGGACAUGAGUGCGGAGAGGGGCUGAGCCCCUCGCCAAAACACACAAAUCAUUACAUGUGGACAGACAAUCAGAAUCAACAUUUUACAACUUUUAACAAUGGAUCUCUAGGCUCUU